UGUGCGUGCGUGUGUGUGUGUGUGAGUGUGUGUGUGGGUGUGGGUGUGAGUAUAAGCGUACACACAUAUAUCCGAUUUUAUACGAACAUAUAACCUUUGAAUUCGUGCUGUGAAAUAUAUUGUUAGAACCAAAAAACAAGAAACAAAUCGUUAUAGAUUUUAAUGUCAAAUCUUUCUUUUCAUUCGGUUCCAGAUGAAAGACUUCAAUGUUUCCAAACAUUGGUUUUAUUCUCAACUUUUUUCACACCAUUAUUCACAGACAUUGAAGAAUUUCUAUAUUUUUUUUGAAGUAGUUUCUGAUAACUUCAAAUGUGCGAAAGAUAUAGACUUACAUACCUUUGAAAAAAUAACAGUUAAAAUCGAACUGCACUCUUCAAAACCUACAUUAAGAAUAAGAUCGAGAAACCAAAACCAAAGGAAAUGACUACUUUUCUUUCAAACUUUGCUUUUAUCAGCUGGACACCAGUGCUUUGAGACUGACUUUCUUUAGCGCUGACAGAAUUAGCGAAGAAUUGCUGAAGCAGAAAUAUCGACAAAGCUAAUAUCCUGCUCAAUAUCAUAGACUUGCUUGUCAGCUGCUUGAUCUUAACCUCUUGAGUAUAUCCCUUAGUGACUGACAGUAUGGGCAACUCUGAUCAUGAGCAGGAGUAGUGGCGAAGCAAUAAAGCCUUGUGAUUUGAAUAAA
Long non-coding RNA from Octopus bimaculoides (California two-spot octopus), 685 nucleotides. RefSeq lists it as uncharacterized. The record is from RefSeq and is a predicted model, not a curated record. Lineage: Eukaryota; Metazoa; Mollusca; Cephalopoda; Octopoda; Octopodidae.